AGCUUAGUGGCAGACGGGUGAGUAACGCGUGAGUAACCUGCCCUUAAGAGGGGGAUAACACACCGAAAGGUGUGCUAAUACCGCAUAAAGUAUUUGGUUCGCAUGGACCUGAAUACCAAAGAUUUAUCGCUUUUGGAUGGACUCGCGUCUGAUUAGAUAGUUGGUGAGGUAACGGCUCACCAAGUCGACGAUCAGUAGCCGGACUGAGAGGUUGAUCGGCCACAUUGGGACUGAGACACGGCCCAGACUCCUACGGGAGGCAGCAGUGGGGGAUAUUGCGCAAUGGGGGAAACCCUGACGCAGCAACGCCGCGUGAAGGAAGAAGGUCUUCGGAUCGUAAACUUCUGUCUUCAGGGACGAAUAAUGACGGUACCUGAGGAGGAAGCCACGGCUAACUACGUGCCAGCAGCCGCGGUAAUACGUAGGUGGCAAGCGUUGUCCGGAAUUACUGGGUGUAAAGGGAGCGCAGGCGGACCGGCAAGUUGGAAGUGAAAACUAUGGGCUCAACCCAUAAAUUGCUUUCAAAACUGCUGGCCUUGAGUAGUGCAGAGGUAGGUGGAAUUCCCGGUGUAGCGGUGGAAUGCGUAGAUAUCGGGAGAAACACCAGUGGCGAAGGCGACCUACUGGGCACCAACUGACGCUGAGGCUCGAAAGCAUGGGUAGCAAAACAAGGGUGGGUGCCGGGGAGGACCAUGCCGGAAGAGGGAAGUUAAUAGGGGUUUGGGGGGAUAGACCCCUUCAGGGACGCCAGUAAACCCGAUAAGGAAUUCCCCCGGGGGGAGGUAGACCGCCAAGGGUUGAAACUUCAAAGGAAAUAGACGGGGGGCCCGCACAAAGCAGUGGAGUAUUGGUUUUAUUUGAAGGCAACGCGAAGACCCUUACCAGGUCUUGACAUCCGAUGCAUAGUGCAGAGAUGCAUGAAGUCCUUCGGGACAUCGAGACAGGUGGUGCAUGGGUUGUCGUCAGCUCGUGUCGUGAGAUGUUGGGUUAAGUCCCGCAACGAGCGCAACCCUUAUUGCCAGUUACUACGCAAGAGGACUCUGGCGAGACUGCCGUUGGACAAAACGGAGGAAGGUGGGGAUGACGUCAAAUCAUCAUGCCCUUUAUGACCUGGGCUACACACGUACUACAAUGGCGUUUAACAAAGAGAAGCAAGACCGCGAGGUGGAGCAAAACUCAAAAACAACGUCUCAGUUCAGAUUGCAGGCUGCAACUCGCCUGGAUGAAGUCGGAAUAGCUAGUAAUCGCGGAUCAGCAUGCCGCGGUGAAUACGUUCCCGGGCC
This 1283-nucleotide ribosomal RNA is filed under the name uncultured bacterium. RNAcentral describes it as "bacterial SSU rRNA". It matches the Rfam family "Bacterial small subunit ribosomal RNA", at positions 89 to 1380 of the family's 1533-position model. The record is from RNAcentral.